Molecule: ribosomal RNA, 441 nt
Filed under: uncultured bacterium
Lineage: Bacteria
Description: partial 16S ribosomal RNA
Rfam family: Bacterial small subunit ribosomal RNA
Source: RNAcentral
CCUACGGGUGGCAGCAGUGGGGAAUAUUGCGCAAUGGAGGAAACUCUGAUGCAGCAACGCCGCGUGAAGGAAGACGGUUUUCGGAUUGUAAACUUCUGUUCUGAGGGAAGAGUAGUAGCGGGUGCUAAUGAGCAAGCCACGGCUAACGACGUUCCAGCAGCCGGGGUAAUACGUAGGUGGCAAGCGUUGGCCGGAAUUACUGGGUGGAAAGGGAGGGCAGGCGGGAAGCCAAGUCAGCUGUGAAAACUACGGGCUUAACUUGUAGACUGCAGUUGAAACUGGUUUCCUUGAGUGAAGGAGAGGUAAGCGGAAUUCCGAGUGUAGCGGUGAAAUGCGUAGAUAUUCGGAGGAACACCGGUGGCGAAGGCGGACAACUGGGCUUUAACUGACGCUGAGGCUCGAAAGUGUGGGGAGCAAACAGGAUUAGAUACCCCAGUAGUC